GACGAACGCUGGCGGCGUGCUUAACACAUGCAAGUCGAACGGACAGGCCCUGCUUUUGUGGGGUGCUCGAGUGGCGAACGGGGGAGUAACACGCGAGUAACCUGCCCUUGUCUUUGGGAUAACUUCAGGAAAAUGGGGCUAAUACCGGAUAGGAGCUCCUGCUGCACGGGGGGGGAUGGAAAGUUUCGGCGGUUGGGGAUGGACUCGCUGCUUAUCAGCUUGUUGGUGGAGUAGGGGAUGCCCAAGGCUUUGACGGGUAGCCGGCAUUGGAGGGGGAACGGCCACAUUGCGCCUGCGAGACGCACCAGACUCCUACGGGAGGCAGCAGUGGGGAAUAUUGCACAGUGGGCGCGCGCGUGAUGCAGCGGCGCCGCGUGCGUAAUGACGGGCUUCGGGUUAUAAACAGCUUUCGACUUUGACGUAGCCUGAGUGACGGUAAUGGGUAAAGAAGCACCGGCUAACUACGUG
This 468-nucleotide ribosomal RNA is filed under the name uncultured bacterium. RNAcentral describes it as "partial 16S ribosomal RNA". It matches the Rfam family "Bacterial small subunit ribosomal RNA", at positions 28 to 507 of the family's 1533-position model. The record is from RNAcentral.